CCUGCAAAAUAAACAUAGGGGGUCCUGCCUGCCCAGUGACUGCAAAGUUUAACGGCCGCGGUAUCUUGACCGUGCGAAGGUAGCAUAAUCAUUUGUCUCCUAAAUAGAGACUGGUAUGAAUGGCAAGACGGAGCUUCACUGUCUCCUCCUCUUUGAUCUGAACUUCACAUUCCCGUGAAGAGGCGAGAAUUAGUUCGUAAGACGAGAAGACCCUGUCGAGCUGUAGCUAAAUUUUAAUUGUUAUUUACUAUUAGCCCUAACUAAUUAUAAUAAGAAUAGUGGGCCUAAAGCAUGACAAAUUAAAACAAGCUUUGAUUGGGGCAAUCCCGGAGAAAGAAAAUCCUCCGCUACUAUAUGGUUAUAUUAACCUAAAAUAAAAGAAUUAUUUUUCUUAAAUCAUAAAAAUGAAGAUAUGAUCCACUUACUGUGAUCAAAAGAACAAG
Molecule: ribosomal RNA, 443 nt
Filed under: Echinocardium cordatum (sea potato)
Lineage: Eukaryota; Metazoa; Echinodermata; Echinoidea; Spatangoida; Loveniidae
Description: partial 16S ribosomal RNA
Rfam family: Bacterial large subunit ribosomal RNA
Source: RNAcentral